Molecule: ribosomal RNA, 476 nt
Filed under: uncultured bacterium
Lineage: Bacteria
Description: bacterial SSU rRNA
Rfam family: Bacterial small subunit ribosomal RNA
Source: RNAcentral
CGCUAUCACUCCUACGGGGAGGCAGCAGUAGGGAAUCUUCCACAAUGGGCGCAAGCCUGAUGGAGCAACACCGCGUGAGUGAAGAAGGGUUUCGGCUCGUAAAGCUCUGUUGUUUAAAGAAGAACACGUAUGAGAGUAACUGUUCAUACGUUGACGGUAUUUAACCAGAAAGUCACGGCUAACUACGUGCCAGCAGCCGCGGUAAUACGUAGGUGGCAAGCGUUAUCCGGAUUUAUUGGGCGUAAAGAGAGUGCAGGCGGUUUUCUAAGUCUGAUGUGAAAGCCUUCGGCUUAACCGGAGAAGUGCAUCGGAAACUGGAUAACUUGAGUGCAGAAGAGGGUAGUGGAACUCCAUGUGUAGCGGUGGAAUGCGUAGAUAUAUGGAAGAACACCAGUGGCGAAGGCGGCUACCUGGUCUGCAACUGACGCUGAGACUCGAAAGCAUGGGUAGUGAACAGGAUUAGAUACCCCUGGUAG